RNAcentral lists this ribosomal RNA (213 nucleotides) under uncultured bacterium. Its description in RNAcentral is "partial 16S ribosomal RNA". It matches the Rfam family "Bacterial small subunit ribosomal RNA", at positions 142 to 353 of the family's 1533-position model. The record is from RNAcentral.
AGUAACAGUCAGAAACGGCUGCUAAUACCGCAUAAGCGCACAGAGCUGCAUGGCUCAGUGUGAAAAACUCCGGUGGUAUAAGAUGGACCCGCGUUGGAUUAGCUAGUUGGUGGGGUAACGGCCCACCAAGGCGACGAUCCAUAGCCGGCCUGAGAGGGUGAACGGCCACAUUGGGACUGAGACACGGCCCAGACUCCUACGGGAGGCAGCAUG